RNAcentral lists this long non-coding RNA (211 nucleotides) under Vigna radiata. Its description in RNAcentral is "long non-coding RNA (VRAD_LNC010023)". The record is from RNAcentral. Lineage: Eukaryota; Viridiplantae; Streptophyta; Magnoliopsida; Fabales; Fabaceae.
GUUGUUAUUCUUCUUAUGUUAAGGAGUUAAGUUUUAAUUCUAUUCUUCCUUUUUGCGUUGUUAUUCUUCUUAUGUUAUCUUUCUUGCGUUAUCAUUCUUUUCUUCUCUUUAGGCUUUCUUCUAAACUUCUCUUGAAGGAUGACCAUUAGACAGGAAAGUUGACUUCAGGAGAAUAGGUAGCCUUUAGGUAGGAAGUCAAACUUUAGUCUUC